CGACUUAUAUUCUGUAGCAAGGUUAACCGAAUAGGGGAGCCGGAGGGAAACCGAGUCUUAAUUGGGCGUUAAGUUGCAGGGUAUAGACCCGAAACCCGGUGAUCUAGCCAUGGGCAGGUUGAAGGUUGGGUAACACUAACUGGAGGACCGAACCGACUAAUGUUGAAAAAUUAGCGGAUGACCUGUGGCUGGGGGUGAAAGGCCAAUCAAACCGGGAGAUAGCUGGUUCUCCCCGAAAGCUAUUUAGGUAGCGCCUCGUGAAUUCAUCUCCGGGGGUAGAGCACUGUUUCGGCUAGGGGGCCAUCCCGGCUUACCAACCCGAUGCAAACUGCGAAUACCGGAGAAUGUUAUCACGGGAGACACACGGCGGGUGCUAACGUCCGUCGUGAAGAGGGAAACAACCCAGACCGCCAGCUAAGGUCCCAAAGUCAUGGUUAAGUGGGAAACGAUGUGGGAAGGCCCAGACAGCCAGGAUGUUGGCUUAGAAGCAGCCAUCAUUUAAAGAAAGCGUAAUAGCUCACUGGUCGAGUCGGCCUGCGCGGAAGAUGUAACGGGGCUAAACCAUGCACCGAAGCUGCGGCAGCGACACUGUGUGUUGUUGGGUAGGGGAGCGUUCUGUAAGCCUGUGAAGGUGUGUCGUGAGGC
Molecule: ribosomal RNA, 645 nt
Filed under: Salmonella enterica subsp. enterica serovar Stanley
Lineage: Bacteria; Pseudomonadati; Pseudomonadota; Gammaproteobacteria; Enterobacterales; Enterobacteriaceae
Description: partial 23S ribosomal RNA
Rfam family: Bacterial large subunit ribosomal RNA
Source: RNAcentral